RNAcentral lists this transfer RNA (69 nucleotides) under Labiobarbus lineatus. Its description in RNAcentral is "tRNA-Ala". It matches the Rfam family "tRNA". From Rfam's summary of the family: Transfer RNA (tRNA) molecules are approximately 80 nucleotides in length. Their secondary structure includes four short double-helical elements and three loops (D, anti-codon, and T loops). The record is from RNAcentral. Lineage: Eukaryota; Metazoa; Chordata; Actinopteri; Cypriniformes; Cyprinidae. RNAcentral also lists the same sequence under 4 other names.
AAGGCCUUAGUUUAAUAAAAAUACCUGAUUUGCAAUUAGGAGAUGCAAGUUAAUUUCUUGUAGGUCUUA